Molecule: ribosomal RNA, 775 nt
Filed under: uncultured Neocallimastigales
Lineage: Eukaryota; Fungi; Neocallimastigomycota; Neocallimastigomycetes; Neocallimastigales
Description: partial large subunit ribosomal RNA
Rfam family: Eukaryotic large subunit ribosomal RNA
Source: RNAcentral
UAGAGAGAGACAUGCGCGCAUAUCAAUAAGCGGAGGAAAAGAAACUAACAAGGAUUCCUUAGUAACGGCGAGUGAAGCGGGAAGAGCUCAAAUUUGAAAUCUUCAAGGUUUUACCUUGACGAAUUGUAGUUUAAAGAAGUGUUUUCUGCUGAAGUUUUGGUAAAAGUUCUUUGGAAUAGGACAUCAUAGAGGGUGAGAAUCCCGUAUUUGACCAUUAUUUUCAGCUUUGUGAUACACUUUCAAAGAGUCGGAUUGUUUGGGAAUGCAGUCCAAAAUGGGUGGUAAAUUUCAUCUAAAGCUAAAUAUUGGCGAGAGACCGAUAGCGAACAAGUACCGUGAGGGAAAGAUGAAAAGAACUUUGAAAAGAGAGUUAAACAGUACGUGAAAUUGUCAAAAGGGAAGCGUUUGACACCAGUGUUGUUUUCUCGAAAAUCAAUUAAAAAUGGCUCGAUUUUGUAUUGUUGAGACCUUAAAAGCUCACUGUACAUUUUUCGUGUCUUUUUUAAUGCACUUUUCGUUUAACAAGUCAACAGUCAGUUUCUUUUGUUGUAAAGGGGUCAUUGGAAGGUGGCUUUCUUUUCGGAGAAAGUGUUUAUAGCCUUUGGCCUCUGCAAUCGGAGAGACUGAGGUCUGCAGCGUAGACUCUUCGGGGUUAGAUACAUUUGUGCUAAGUUAUAGCUUUUUAUAGACAACUUGUUGACUAUAAUUAGUCUUGUAGCUUACUCGCUUAUGCUAUUUUACCUACGCUUAGGAUGUUGAAGAUGUAGCACAUCAU